ACUCCUACGGGAGGCAGCAGUAGGGAAUCUUCCGCAAUGGACGAAAGUCUGACGGAGCAACGCCGCGUGAGUGAUGAAGGCUUUCGGGUCGUAAAACUCUGUUGUUAGGGAAGAACAAGUACGAGAGUAACUGCUCGUACCUUGACGGUACCUAACCAGAAAGCCACGGCUAACUACGUGCCAGCAGCCGCGGUAAUACGUAGGUGGCAAGCGUUAUCCGGAAUUAUUGGGCGUAAAGCGCGCGCAGGCGGUUUCUUAAGUCUGAUGUGAAAGCCCACGGCUCAACCGUGGAGGGUCAUUGGAAACUGGGGAACUUGAGUGCAGAAGAGAAAAGCGGAAUUCCACGUGUAGCGGUGAAAUGCGUAGAGAUGUGGAGGAACACCAGUGGCGAAGGCGGCUUUUGGUCUGUAACUGACGCUGAGGCGCGAAAGCGUGGGGAGCAAACAGGAUUAGAUACCCUGGUAGUCCACGCCGUAAACGAUGAGUGCUAAGUGUUAGAGGGUUUCCGCCCUUUAGUGCUGCAGCUAACGCAUUAAGCACUCCGCCUGGGGAGUACGGUCGCAAGACUGAAACUCAAAGGAAUUGACG
RNAcentral lists this ribosomal RNA (588 nucleotides) under uncultured Bacillus sp. RNAcentral describes it as "bacterial SSU rRNA". It matches the Rfam family "Bacterial small subunit ribosomal RNA", at positions 335 to 915 of the family's 1533-position model. The record is from RNAcentral. Lineage: Bacteria; Bacillati; Bacillota; Bacilli; Caryophanales; Bacillaceae.